Molecule: ribosomal RNA, 59 nt
Filed under: Schistosoma bovis
Lineage: Eukaryota; Metazoa; Platyhelminthes; Trematoda; Strigeidida; Schistosomatidae
Also listed under: 1 other name
Description: partial 28S ribosomal RNA
Rfam family: Eukaryotic large subunit ribosomal RNA
Source: RNAcentral
CUGACCUCGGAUCAGACGUGAUUACCCGCUGAACUUAAGCAUAUCAAUAAGCGGAGGAA